GGCAGAGUGAGAUCCUAAUCCUGCAGUGAGGCUCCAGAGCCCUUAUUCCUCUGGACAGUGUCCCCCAGACGGCCAUUUGUGGUAGAAGUACGAGGAGCAGAAAUGAGGGCUUUGAGGUGAGACACCUGACUGCAACUUGCCUGCCAUGUGAUCCUGGUAUUAAGAGGACAAGUCACAUGGAUUUACAGAAACUGAUCACGGAUCGAGGGCCCUGUUCACAGCAGUAUGCUGAGGCUGGAAAGGCUUGUUUGGAGGUUCUUUCAGCUUGCAAAGAUCCAGGUGAGCAUCGAUCCUGCCAGGCUGUCUCUCCUCUCU
RNAcentral lists this long non-coding RNA (315 nucleotides) under Chinchilla lanigera (long-tailed chinchilla). Its description in RNAcentral is "lncRNA (ENSCLAG00000024836.1)". The record is from RNAcentral. Lineage: Eukaryota; Metazoa; Chordata; Mammalia; Rodentia; Chinchillidae.